Molecule: ribosomal RNA, 1432 nt
Filed under: uncultured organism
Description: SSU rRNA
Rfam family: Bacterial small subunit ribosomal RNA
Source: RNAcentral
UAGCGACAGGCUUAACACAUGCAAGUCGAGGGGCUUCACAGGUAGCAAUACCGGGUGGCGACCGGCGCACGGGUGAGUAACGCGUAUGCAACUUGCCUAUCAGAGGGGGAUAACCCGGCGAAAGUCGGACUAAUACCGCAUGAAGCAGGGAUCCCGCAUGGGAAUAUUUGCUAAAGAUUCAUCGCUGAUAGAUAGGCAUGCGUUCCAUUAGGCAGUUGGCGGGGUAACGGCCCACCAAACCGACGAUGGAUAGGGGUUCUGAGAGGAAGGUCCCCCACAUUGGUACUGAGACACGGACCAAACUCCUACGGGAGGCAGCAGUGAGGAAUAUUGGUCAAUGGCCGAGAGGCUGAACCAGCCAAGUCGCGUGAGGGAUGAAGGUUCUAUGGAUCGUAAACCUCUUUUAUAAGGGAAUAAAGUGCGGGACGUGUCCCGUUUUGUAUGUACCUUAUGAAUAAGGAUCGGCUAACUCCGUGCCAGCAGCCGCGGUAAUACGGAGGAUCCGAGCGUUAUCCGGAUUUAUUGGGUUUAAAGGGUGCGUAGGCGGCCUUUUAAGUCAGCGGUGAAAGUCUGUGGCUCAACCAUAGAAUUGCCGUUGAAACUGGGGGGCUUGAGUAUGUUUGAGGCAGGCGGAAUGCGUGGUGUAGCGGUGAAAUGCAUAGAUAUCACGCAGAACCCCGAUUGCGAAGGCAGCCUGCCAAGCCAUUACUGACGCUGAUGCACGAAAGCGUGGGGAUCAAACAGGAUUAGAUACCCUGGUAGUCCACGCAGUAAACGAUGAUCACUAGCUGUUUGCGAUACACUGUAAGCGGCACAGCGAAAGCGUUAAGUGAUCCACCUGGGGAGUACGCCGGCAACGGUGAAACUCAAAGGAAUUGACGGGGGCCCGCACAAGCGGAGGAACAUGUGGUUUAAUUCGAUGAUACGCGAGGAACCUUACCCGGGUUUGAACGCAUUCGGACCGAGGUGGAAACACCUUUUCUAGCAAUAGCCGUUUGCGAGGUGCUGCAUGGUUGUCGUCAGCUCGUGCCGUGAGGUGUCGGCUUAAGUGCCAUAACGAGCGCAACCCUUGCCACUAGUUACUAACAGGUAAAGCUGAGGACUCUGGUGGGACUGCCAGCGUAAGCUGCGAGGAAGGCGGGGAUGACGUCAAAUCAGCACGGCCCUUACAUCCGGGGCGACACACGUGUUACAAUGGCGUGGACAAAGGGAGGCCACCUGGCGACAGGGAGCGAAUCCCCAAACCACGUCUCAGUUCGGAUCGGAGUCUGCAACCCGACUCCGUGAAGCUGGAUUCGCUAGUAAUCGCGCAUCAGCCAUGGCGCGGUGAAUACGUUCCCGGGCCUUGUACACACCGCCCGUCAAGCCAUGGGAGCCGGGGGUACCUGAAGUCCGUAACCGCGAGGAUCGGCCUAGGGUAAAACUGGUGACU